AAAACACAGCCGUCACGUUCCCUACUCUCUCCAAGAGCUCUGCUAGGGUUUAACCCGAUCUUGAUCUUGUGAGCCCAGCUUCGUCUCCUUGAUUCGUCUUGUUCGUCUGUCCUGGGAACUGUCGCACCUCCGCUGUCGGAGUCGAACCCUUCCUCAAGCUAUUUCUAGAUAGGAGAACCCCUGGUAGUGGUAAUGACGAUAGGAAUGAUACAGCUUGAUGGACUGGACGGGUAUUGGGCUCACUAUGGGGUCCAUCACUGAAGAAUUUAUUUUGCUAUGCUUUUCUUGUCUGUACAAGACCUAGUAUUAUUAGUUCACUAGUAUAUUUUUGUUUUAGGCCGUGUGGGGCCUCUUUUAUGUUUUAUGGAUAUGUUGGGGUAUGGAGUACUUCAUAUCCCAAAUCUUUGUACCCUCUGGAUAUUAUGUAUGCGACGUUUUUAUUAAGUGAGUUUUAUCUAUUUAUUUUGGA
Molecule: long non-coding RNA, 469 nt
Organism: Vigna unguiculata (cowpea)
Lineage: Eukaryota; Viridiplantae; Streptophyta; Magnoliopsida; Fabales; Fabaceae
Source: RefSeq, a predicted model, not a curated record